GGGGAUUUAGCUCAGUGGUAGAGCGCUUGCCUAGCAAGUGCAAAGCCCUGGGUUCGGUCCCCAGCUCCG
Non-coding RNA from Rattus norvegicus (Norway rat), 69 nucleotides. Lineage: Eukaryota; Metazoa; Chordata; Mammalia; Rodentia; Muridae. The record is from Rfam.